UAGUGGCGAACGGGUGCGUAACACGUGGAUACAUUCCGGGAAGCGGGGGAUAGCCCAGGGAAACUUGGAUUAAUACCGCAUGUGGUCGAAAGACUAAAGGCAGGGACCGCAAGGCCUGCCACUUCCCGAUUGGUCCGCGGCCUAUCAGCUAGUUGGCGGGGUAAAAGCCCACCAAGGCUACGACGGGUAGCUGGUCUUAGAGGACGACCAGCCACACUGGAACUGAGACACGGUCCAGACACCUACGGGUGGCAGCAGUCGAGAAUCUUUCACAAUGGGGGCAACCCUGAUGGAGCGACGCCGCGUGGAGGAUAAGGCCUUCGGAUUGUAAACUCCUGUCAUGUGUGAACAAGGUUGUCUUGUUAAUAGCGAGGCAAAUUGAUGGUAACACAAGAGGAAGAGACGGCUAACUCUGUGCCAGCAGCCGCGGUAAUACAGAGGUCUCAAGCGUUGUUCGGAAUCACUGGGCGUAAAGGGUGCGUAGGUGGCGUGGUAAGUCAGAUGUGAAAGCCCGGGGCUCAACCUCGGAAUUGCAUCCGAUACUACCAUGCUAGAGUACUGAAGAGGUGACUAGAAUUCUCGGUGUAGCAGUGAAAUGCGUAGAUAUCGAGAGGAAUACCAACGGCGAAGGCAGGUCACUGGGCAGUUACUGACACUGAGGCACGAAGGCCAGGGGAGCAAACGGGAUUAGAUACCCCGGUAGUCCUGGCAGUAAACGGUGCAUAUUUGGUGUGGGCGCAAUCGACCGCGUCCGCGCCGGAGCUAACGCGUUAAAUAUGCCGCCUGGGAAGUACGGUCGCAAGAUUAAAACUCAAAGAAAUUGACGGGGACCCGCACAAGCGGUGGAGUAUGUGGCUUAAUUCGAUGCAACGCGAAGAACCUUACCUGGUC
RNAcentral lists this ribosomal RNA (891 nucleotides) under uncultured bacterium. RNAcentral describes it as "bacterial SSU rRNA". It matches the Rfam family "Bacterial small subunit ribosomal RNA", at positions 93 to 980 of the family's 1533-position model. The record is from RNAcentral.